CGCCCUCUGCCCCUACCAUGCAGGUACUAAUAAAAAAGUGUCAAGGUCAAAUAUCGUUCUGUCUAGCCUCAUUUCGCAACGCCGAACGCGCUAUAACGAACUUCGUUC
Molecule: long non-coding RNA, 108 nt
Organism: Aricia agestis (brown argus)
Lineage: Eukaryota; Metazoa; Arthropoda; Insecta; Lepidoptera; Lycaenidae
Exons: 2
Source: RefSeq, a predicted model, not a curated record